GGUUUAAUUCGAUGAUACGCGAGGAACCUUACCCGGGCUUGAAUUGCAGAGGAAGGAUUUGGAGACAAUGACGCCCUUCGGGGUCGUCUGUGAAGGUGCUGCAUGGUUGUCGUCAGCUCGUGCCGUGAGGUGUCGGCUUAAGUGCCAUAACGAGCGCAACCCCUCUCCUUAGUUGCCAUCAGUUGAAGCUGGGCACUCUGGGGACACUGCCACCGUAAGGUGUGAGGAAGGUGGGGGAUG
RNAcentral lists this ribosomal RNA (240 nucleotides) under uncultured bacterium. Its description in RNAcentral is "partial 16S ribosomal RNA". It matches the Rfam family "Bacterial small subunit ribosomal RNA", at positions 943 to 1181 of the family's 1533-position model. The record is from RNAcentral.